ACUCAAAGGAAUUGACGGGGGCCCGCACAAGCGGUGGAGCAUGUGCAUUAAUUCGUCACUAACCGAAGAACCUUACCAGGGUUUGACAUCCCCGGACAGCCCGAGAGAUCGGGUGUUCCCCGCAAGGGGACCGGGUGACAGGUGUUGCAUGGUUGUCGUCAGCUCGUGUCGUGAGAUGUUGGGUUAAGUCCCGCAACGAGCGCAACCCUCACCCAAUGUUGGCAGCGUAAAGUCGGCAACUCUUUGGGAACUGCCCGUGUAAGCGGGAGGAAGGUGGGGAUGACGUCAAAUCGGCAUGGCCCUUACGCCCUGGGCUUGACACAUGCUACAAUGGCCGUUAAACAGAGCGACGCGAUGCCGCGAGGCGGAGCCAAUCGCACAAAUACGGUCUCAGUUCGGAUUGCAGGCUGCAACUCGCCUGCAUGAAGUCGGAAUCGCUAGUAACCGCAGGUCAGCUAAACUGCGGUGAAUACGUUCCCGGGCCUUGUACACACCGCCCGU
RNAcentral lists this ribosomal RNA (501 nucleotides) under uncultured bacterium. RNAcentral's name for it is "partial 16S ribosomal RNA". It matches the Rfam family "Bacterial small subunit ribosomal RNA", at positions 899 to 1397 of the family's 1533-position model. The record is from RNAcentral.